Molecule: ribosomal RNA, 442 nt
Filed under: uncultured bacterium
Lineage: Bacteria
Description: partial 16S ribosomal RNA
Rfam family: Bacterial small subunit ribosomal RNA
Source: RNAcentral
CCUACGUGAGGCAGCAGUAGGGAAUCUUUCACAAUGGGCGAAAGCCUGAUGGAGCAACGUCGCGUGCAGGAUGAAGGCCUUCGGGUUGUAAACUGCUUUUAUAAGCGAGAAAUAUGAUGGUAACUUAUGAAUAAUUAUCGUCUAACUACGUGCCAGCAGCCGCGGUCAUACGUAGGAUCCGAGCAUUAUCCGGAGUGACUGGGUGUAAAGAGUUGCGUAGGUGGCAUAAUAAGUAGCUAGUGAAAUCUGGUGGCGCAACCAUUCAGACUAUUAGCUAAACUGUUACGCUCGAGACCGUUAGGGGUAACUGGAAUUUCUAGUGUAGGGGUGAAAUGCGUAGAUAUUAGGAGGAACACCGAUUGCGUAGGCAGGUUACUGGGACGGUUCUGACACUGAGGCACGAAAGCGUAGGGAGCAAACGGGAUUAGAUACCCCUGUAGUC